Neofelis nebulosa (Clouded leopard) is the source of this 2636-nucleotide RNA transcript. It is a transcript of the gene named nudix hydrolase 11, with no coding region annotated. The record is from RefSeq and is a predicted model, not a curated record. The transcript has 2 exons. NCBI's taxonomy places the organism in Eukaryota, Metazoa, Chordata, Mammalia, Carnivora, Felidae.
CCCGUCCCCGCCCCCGCCCCUGCCUCAUCUACCCGGGGCUCCUGGCCAGAGCGCUUUCUCUCGCUGCUCCUCUCUUCGGCCCUUUCUCUCUCUGGCACCUCGGGCGGCUGCGGUGACGGCGGCGACAGCGACCCCAGCAGCAGCGAGCGGCGGGAGCGGGCGGCCGUGACGAUGAAGUGCAAGCCCAACCAGACGCGCACCUACGACCCGGAGGGGUUCAAGAAGCGGGCAGCGUGCCUGUGCUUCCGGAGCGAGCGCGAGGACGAGGUGCUGUUAGUGAGUAGCAGUCGGUACCCGGACCGCUGGAUCGUGCCGGGCGGGGGCAUGGAGCCCGAGGAGGAGCCGGGCAGUGCGGCUGUCCGAGAGGUGUUCGAAGAGGCGGGAGUCAAGGGGAAGUUAGGCCGGCUCCUGGGCAUUUUCGAACAGAACCAAGACCGCAAGCACAGAACGUACGUGUACGUACUGACCGUCACCGAGAUUCUGGAGGAUUGGGAAGAUUCGGUUAGCAUUGGAAGGAAGCGAGAGUGGUUCAAAAUCGAAGAUGCGAUCAAGGUUCUCCAGUGCCACAAGCCCGUGCAUGCCGAAUAUCUGGAGAAACUAAAGCUGGGCGGUCCCCCAACCAAUGGAAACUCGGUGGCCCCGUCUCUGCCACAGAGCGAUCCCUAGUAUGUACCGCUCCUGCACAGACUUCUGCUUUCCGCCUACCUUAGAAUAAAUAGUGCCCGGAGCACCUCUGCUGCCUAGUGCGGUCUCUCGGGGAGGAGGGGGGCUUCUUUUGUUUCCUUGGCAGACCUCUGAAUCACGCUUGCAAACUGUCUCAGUUGCCAGGCACUGUUUUCAGACAAUUUGCACGUUUUUCAGAUGCUUUGAAAAUCGCUGCUUCGUAGGACUGUAACAGAUUUCGAUGAACAGCAAAGAUCUUCAGGAUGGCUUUGAAAGAAUCAUUGAUGUGAACCACUGAUCAAUGGAAUUUUCAAGUGGAGGUGAGCGUUUCUGAAAAUGUUUCCAAGGAGACAGCUCAUCUGAUUUCCCUCCUGUAUCUUGGGACACUCUUUACCUGUCUAUGCCACUGACUUUUCUUGCCCUGGUUGUUGUACUAUUGUACAUGAACAGACUCUGAUUUCAGCACCUAUAGCCUAUUGUUGCGCUUUUUUGAUGUAUCUGCCUUCUCCAUUAGACUGUGAUAUCAUUGAGAGCAAAGACCACAUUUCCUUACUGUUUGCAUAUUCUGCAUAUGAAACACUACUUGAAAUUUGAUUGACAUCUCUGAAGGUUCUUUGAAUUCACAUUUUGUAAUCACUAUGUGGCAAAACAUUCCCCUUUCGAUUGGUGCUAGUAGAAUAUAUGCUGUGUGGGCACCAAGUGUGAGGCUUUCCCAUAUCAGGUGUUUCAGAAACUUUUCAAGGCAGUUUUAAGUUGUUCAAGGACAAGAAUUAUUACCCAUAAUUCUCUGUCAUACCACAAAGUGGCUAGCACCAUUUUGAGAUUUACCCCAUCAUUUAAGGACAACAUUUUGUAGAACCAGUCCUUUGUGUAACAACUUUAGUGUUUUUGUACUGUUGUUACUUUGCUGAAAAUUUUAUUCAAAAAAUAUCACUUGCUAUAAAACUAUAAAAUAAAUACAAUAAACACAAUAUAAACACAAUAUAAUAUUAUGAAUUUUUAUAAAAAUAAAUUUUAAAAUGAUAUAUUUGAUGUUUUUGCAAUGCCCUAACUACUUCUUUCAUGUGAUCUUACCAUCCCUUUGAAGAUUGUUUUUCCCAGUUUAUAGGUUCAGGAUACUGUAUUAUUUGAUGCCAGAGCUAACAAAAACUGUGGUACAGGCAGUUUCCAAAGUUAAUUAUACCACUUACUUUGCCUAGGUUUAUUUUGCCUCUCUUACUGAUACAGUUGGCCAAUUUUCAUCCCCUUUUCUGACACACUCAGCUGGCUUCUCAUUCUACCUGGUUUCUGCAUAUGAGAAUGUGGAGGAGAGUCAGCUAAAUUGUUGUCACUUAGAAAAGGCAUUGAAGAAAAAAAUCUUCUGUAGGGGGGAAUAGAAGAUGAAGAAUUUAUAUAGAGAGGACUUGGGUCAACUGUGUCCAGGAGAGCAACUUUAAGAAAAAUGACAAAGAUUUUUAGAGAUAAUUUUAUGGAGUUUUGCCAUGGGGUUUGUAAUGUCAACACUCUUACCCAGCUUCAUACAGAGGCCCCAAAGUAGCUUUAAUAUGGUAGUUUUCUUCUUUUGCAUUUAUAAAGCAAUUACAUAAGCAAAAAAUGUGAGCUCCGUUUUAGUGUUAUACCUUUACUCAUGGUACCAGUGAAAUAGAUUGUUUCCUUAAUCCUUACAGAAUUUGAAAUUGCACAUCUCCCAAUUUAUUGGGUUUUUUUAAGAUGUGAUAUGGUACUGUGGUUAUGUUUUUUAAUCCUUAUCUUUUAGAGAAAUGUACUGUAAAUUUUAUAGAUGAAAUGAUUAUGCUACUGAUAUUUGCUUCAAAAUAACCUGGGGGUGGGGUAGAUGAGCAUAUAGAUAAAAUGAGAUUGGUAAUAAAUUGAUAAUUUUUGAAGCUGUGUGACAGAUAUUUGGGAGUUCAUUAUACUCUUCUCUAUACUUUUGUAUAUAUUUGAAACUUUCCAUAAUAAAAAUUGAGUAACAA